Molecule: microRNA, 22 nt
Filed under: Heligmosomoides polygyrus
Lineage: Eukaryota; Metazoa; Nematoda; Chromadorea; Rhabditida; Heligmosomidae
Description: hpo-miR-10027-5p
Source: miRBase by way of RNAcentral
GAGUGUUCCACGGUUGUCAUGC